This 4177-nucleotide long non-coding RNA is filed under the name Citrus sinensis (sweet orange). RNAcentral describes it as "long non-coding RNA (CSIN_LNC001274)". Lineage: Eukaryota; Viridiplantae; Streptophyta; Magnoliopsida; Sapindales; Rutaceae. The record is from RNAcentral.
UUUAAUUUUGUAAAAUUCAUUUAACCUGCACUUGGUCGCCCCUAUUCUCUGAAUGGUUAUGGCGAUAUCAUCAUUAUCGUUACUUGUACCAACGCUAAACCCUUCUUAUUCCCUUUCUCGCCUGUCAUACCCUAACAUUAUAUCCCGUGUCCACACUAAAGACAAGUAGUCAAUUCAGGCCAUCAGAUUAUAGUGGACCCACAUCAAUCCAACUGCUCACAAUGACCGACAGCCUCUCCAUCUCCAUUUCAGGUUUCCUCUUCAACUGGCUUCUGCUUCCGCCGUAUUUGCUCCAUUUCUUGGAUUCGGAGUCCGUAUUUGGUCGGUCGGUCCCGCACAGCUCCCUCUCACUCCAAUUGUCACCCAACAAGACCAAUUGCUUAAUCAAGGCACAGAACAAGAAGAGGAUGAGAAAUUGAAACAAGAAUUUGAGAAUUGGAAAUCGAAAACGUACGCAUUGACCGUGCCUUUGAGGGCAAUUACUUUUCUUGAGAAUUGAAGUUUGGUAAUGUAAUUUGUUCUCCAUCUGUGUUCCCUUUGUAGUCAUUUCAUAACUAAAUUGAUUGACUGUACAGUGCAUUUCAACAUAGCAUAUUUAACCGUUUUAACAGUUAUUUGGACCGUCUUCAGAGCUAACAUCAACAAACUCAUUCAUAUGCUUAAUAAUGAACGAAUAGUCUUGGAUCGAUGUUUUGCAGCAAGAGCAACACGACACAAUCUGGAUUCAACCUCCUCCUUUCUAACAGGGGAUUUCGAUUUGAGUUACUUUGUGCUCAAGCAAAUUCACAUCAUAGUUUUGAUUCUUUAGAUAUGAAUUCAUCACUUUACAUAUAUCAGAUUAAUGUGUAACAAAAUUUUUAAUUUACUGCGAAAAGAAUAUGCACUAAAAAAUGAUUUCAAGACUAUUUGACUACAAAAAGCAGCUGUCAGAGUGCACUAAAAAUUUCUGUAGGAUAUUUUGUAGCUGUUUAAUAUGUUAUGAUGGGCAUAUAAUUCUCAAAUUUUGAUGCCUCUCAGCGAAAAUCUAUCAAAGUUACAGAUGAUAUCACGUAAAACAUGCAUGGCUCAGGCUCAGGCUCAGGUAAGAAAGCCACAGAAAAGGAAAAUCUCACUGUCACGACUCACGUCACGCAUCAUUCAAGUGAUGGAUUUAACAAGACUGCUUAUGUUCUAUCAAAUUCCUCUGCCUCUCAGAAGAUAACUUUUCUGGGCCAAAUUUCUCAUCUAAAGCAUAUUAUGCCCCAAAGUCACAGAUAACAAAAUGGGGCACUACCGAUUAUGAAAGAGAACUAGUAGUUGUCAGAAGCCUAAGCCAAAUUCCGGUAGUAAGAAGAGGCCUUUCUUGAGUUUAGAUUAUGUGUUCGAGUUUUAAUAAAUGCCUAAGUUAAUAAUAAUAACAACAGUAAUAAUAAACUAAAAAGCAUAAUUACUAUUGAAUGGUAAAAAAAAAAAUGAAAAUGUGUGAACUCCAAUAACCACCCCAGUGGCGAAUUUUGGAGAGGGCUAGGCCGGGCUUCUUUUGUCACUGAGCAGUGUCAAUAUCGUCUAACAACUAACUUGAUUUUGAUAUGACAAACACACGGUGUGUCUCUCAUGUCUCACCCAUGUCUCACCAUGAUGGAGAAUUUUUCUAAUGCAUGAAGUAAGCUUUGAUAUGUGGGUUAGCUUGGAGAACAUAUCUCAAAAUGAAGAAGAUGGGGAGUUAAUGGGAAGAAACAGUCCAGUAGUUUAUAAUUCUGUCGACGAGCUGUAUCUCUAACAUGGUCAAAAUUUAUGUGAAUAAGGACAGGGAAUCGUCAUUCCUCUUUUCCUUUUUAUACCGGGAUAUCUCUCAACCUUUAUAUGUUGCCCGCUGGAGAUCUCCUUCUAAUAACUAAAAUAAAAAUUUCAUCCACUCAAAUAAAUGUUGACCAAGCUUUCACAAGAAAAAGUAACAUCUUUAGUGAAGUAAUUUACAGUUCCUUAUCAUCUUCGUGUGAGUCUAUCAGUAUGAUCCAAAAACAUAAUAAAUCUUGUUAGAUCCUGUUUAUUGAUGUUUGAAUGUUGUUCAUUGUGCAAUGUAGAAAUGAUGACGUGAAGUUUCUUUGGUCAUCAAUUAGUGAGAUCUUGUUUGAAGUUGUUUUCUGAAAUGAACUGCAAAAUGGUAGUUUUUUUUUUUUUCUUGGGUGCAUUUGAUGGCUCUUUUCUCCUCAUUUUAAGCAUGUGUCUGCUUGGAAUGGGAAGGAAUAGGCUUCAGAGUUGUUAUAUAUGUUGACAUGCUCUGGUCAUUACAAAAUAUGUUCAAAUUGGAAAUUAGAAUGAGAUAUUUGUUGAUGCUUUUUGAGAGAUCUGCAUUCUAUGCACCAUAACAUGAUGAAUGAAAAUGGGUUUAAGGACUGGAAAGAUCUGUGGCUGCCCGAGCUUGCAGGAAGGAUUUCAAUGGUUAAUUCUCCCAGAGAGGUUAUUGGUACAGUUUUGAAGUAUAUGGGAGCAUCAUACAAUUCAAAUGACAUUGAUUAGCAAGCUGCUGCUGGAAGGAUUGCUGUUCAGCAGAAUCUGGCAUUACUGGGAAACCAGGUACUCUUAAAGAAACGAUAUCUGGUCAAUGCAUAUUAUUGGGUGACGGCUGAUUUUGUUUGUAAAGUGUGCCUUUUCAUACCUAUGAAUGCAUAUGUUAGUGUUGUGUUCUCCUUUCCAUAAAUAUGAAUGCAUAUGUUGGUGUUCUUUUCUGAGAUGGAUGCAAUAAAGGCUUUUUCUUCUAAAUUUAGUUGAAGAAAUGGCAAGGAAUGUGAGAUUCUAUCUCAUUAAAUUAACAAAAACCCAAAACAGUGAAAACCCAUAUUAUGUGGAUGAAUUGGCGACAUUUGGCUUGUUUCCUGAACGUGAAUUAGCAAGCAAUAGAGACUAAAAAAAUGGAGUGAUAAUAACAAGUCAUUGUCAUUUGAUGAAUGCAUUUUUAAGCAAAAAUAGGUUUGUAACUGAAUAAAUUUGUCUGGCAUGCCAAUAUCAAAAAAUUAAAUUAUGUGGUUAUGAGCUGUAAUGAAGGGGGAUUGUAGGUGCAAUCAGAUCGAUCCAAGAAAGUUCAACAAAGUUCUGGUUUGGUGUAGUGAAAUUGGUUUGUGCAACUUGAGUCUUUCAGAUGAACAAUGACGAGUUUUCAUUUAAAAAUGUUAUAAAUCUGCCAUGCAUAGUAUUCUAGUAGAAUCAUCUAUAAAUUCAAGUUAUUGAAAUUGUCUAUUUGUCCAGUUUGAGUUAAGGACGCAUGUAAUAUGAAAAAUUGUUGUCGAAUCCCCUUCAUCUUUGAUGGAAAGAUGAAAUAAAAACAAAUUGGUGAAAAUGGUAUUGGUACCUGAGGCUAUGUAAUCUAAUUCAAAAACUGCACCAUCAAAACGAUUACAUAAGUCUCAGAAGAAUCAAAUAUCAGUUUGCAAAAUAUCAAUUGCUGGAGGUUUGAUUCUAACUUCCGCUCUUCAUUUUUAUGGGCAUAUUGUGUUGUACUUGCAUCCGAAAAUCAUAUUUUAGUUUACUUGCACUCAAUGCUUGGAUUAAAGUUUUUUUUUGGGGGGGGGGGGAUUGAAGAAGACUAAAAUUACACCAAAAAAGAGUUGAGCGAGAGCGGGUUUUGUCUUCAUUUAAGGAGCUCUUUAUAAAUUUUGGGAUUUUUUUCCUGAGAAAAUUUAUGCCAACUCAUUCUUUGCUGUUGUCGAAUAUUGUAGGUUAGCUAAUAUUUGAUCAAUCCUAUAGGGAGGGCUUUAAGAUGUCUAACAACAUGUAGAAUGCCUCUGCUUCCCCCACAAUUUUUAUCUUAUACAAUUUUUAUCUAUAAACAGUAUUUGCCAGACCUUAACCGUUCAGAUUCCCCUUCUCGACUAUCAUACCCUACACCCCAUCUCCGUGUCUCCGAUAAACAGUGCUCAAUUAAGGCCAUCAGAUUAUCCCGGUCCCACAUUGAUCAACGGCUCACAAUGACCGACAACCUCUGUCUCCAUUACAAGCUCCCUCUUCAACUCGCUUCUGCUUCCAUCCUGCUCUUUCUCGGAUUCGGAGCCCGUAUAUGCUCAGCUGGUCCCACAAAGCUCCCUCUCACUCCAGCUGUCAACCGACAAGACCAAUUGCCUUAUCAAGACACAGAACAAAAAGAGGAUGAGAAAUUGAAACAAGAAUUUGAGAAUUGGAAAUCGAAAACGUACGCAUUGAC